CCUGAACGCUGGCGGCGUGGCUAAGACAUGCAAGUCGAACGGGUCCCGAGCAAUCGGGACCAGUGGCGGACGGGUGAGUAAUUUAUCGCUAACGUGCCGCGGAGCCUGGGAUAGCCGGUCGAAAGGCCGGGUAAUACCAGAUGAGACCACGGGCAGGCAUCUGCCAGUGCUCAAAGCAGCAAUGCACUCUGUGAGCGGGCGAUAUCGUAUCAGCUUGUUGGUGAGGUAACGGCCCACCAAGGCUAUGACGCGUAGCUGGUCUGAGAGGACGGCCAGCCACAUUGGGACUGAGACACUGCCCAGACUCCUACGGGGG
This 316-nucleotide ribosomal RNA is filed under the name uncultured bacterium. RNAcentral's name for it is "bacterial SSU rRNA". It matches the Rfam family "Bacterial small subunit ribosomal RNA", at positions 30 to 347 of the family's 1533-position model. The record is from RNAcentral.